AAAGAAGUCUUUUUAAUCUUCUGGAAUUAAGGAGUUCGUUUUCAUCCACAAAGUUCUUUUUGUUUAUGUCCUCGGUCUGAUUAUUCUACUGGAGGGUAUGCAGAUGGCCACACAUCCCUUUUCAUCAACGCCCCUCGAAAUAAAGUCCUAAAAAUACCAGCGGCAAUUAACAUUUCGGCAUCUCCUUUCUGGUUAGUAGCCAUCUUUAUGGAAUGUCUGUGUUUGAAUUAGAUCAGUAUUAGACAAGCAGAGACAGAUUAAAAAAAAGAUAAAGGGCAGAGGAGUAGUGCAUUUCCUCCAUCUCCCAAUCAGAAACUUUAGCUGUGCCUUCCAACGGCUUCACAGGAAUCAAAGUAAAAUCUGGGCCAAGGUUCAAAAAUUAAUUGCAUAAGUGGAAGACCAAUAGUCAAAAAGCAAAAAUCAAAAAGGAACACAGUAAGAAACUUAUUAAAAGGAAAAAAAAAAUCUAGUUUUAGGUACAAAUACAUAGUUCGAGACCCAGUGCAGUGACGUGUUUGGUGAAAAAGGCUGAUGUGCUUUCACUACAGUCUUAGAGGCACAGCAUUCAGAGGAGGGGAAAGAAAUGGUUUCACUUCUCUCUACACUCACCAGGCAGCUGCUAGAAAGCUCAGUUCAAGUCUGCAGGCCAGGACCCCAGAAGCGAAGGGGAGAAACUCAGGUGAUUAGAAUGGGGGGAUGAUUUUCCUAUGAGCAACUGGUCAGGAAGCCAUGCUGCAGGUAAAGCCACAAUUGAUACUUUAACAUGACAAAGGAUAAGAGAUCCUGUUCUCUCCCAAGUUCUGCUGAGAUGGAAAAGUCUGCAGGAAAUGGAGUUGUUAUGGGGACCAGGAGAUGGAAGAGGGGAUGGAGCCGAUGAUGGAAGGGAGAGCUCCCUGGAGCACGUGGAGUUUGGUGGCUGACACUAGAAGACGGGCAAGGCCAGCCGUUGGAGUUUGCACACGUUUAAGGGUGGCACGGGGAGGGUGGGAUUCCUGUACAGGGAGCAGCACAUGUCAAAGCAAAAACUUUCCAUGCUGCAAUCUUCUCAAGAGCCGUGGUGACAGCAACCACAGCCCAUACUCAGGAGACGCCACCUCCCGUCGGCCAAGACGGCCACUCUGGUCCCAUGAGCGCUUUGUCAGCAGUGCUCCACAGUGCUCUUAUUAAUGGUACUGCGCCUCGGGUCUUCCCAGGACAGAGCCUCCCCCGUAGCCCCUGCUGGAGCUCCUCUCUACGUACACAGGUGACAGUGUCUGGUGCACGCUUCCUGAGCUGUUUUGCAGAUGCCAAAACCCCCACCAAAGGGAAGGAGUUAACUACCUGAUGGCCACGAGCCCCCAGGACUAUGGACGCCUGAGGACGGAUAACUCAGCCACUCUGCGACCUCGCCGUCAGCCAGUCAGAGACCUGCGCCCAGCUGACCACAAACCUGCAGCGCGCCCCUCCCUCACACAGCCUUGGAAGAUGCUUUACUGAAACCCUUGGGGAGUUCAGGGUUUUCUGGGCAUGAGCCACCUCGCUUGGGCCUGCAACAAACCUGGCUCUGCUCUAAACUCCGACGUUUUCCGUUUCUUUGGCUUCACCGUGCAUUAGACACAUGAUUUCACAUUCUGUAAUACAGUAAUGACCAGGUUCAUCUGAAGCUAUUAAUCGGGCUAUAUGGUAACCAAAUACAUUACUUUAGCCUUCCUGCAUUUCAAAUUGAACAUGCUAAUGCUGUUAUUUAGUUCAACCCUUUUAUCCUUACCUCUAGUUGACCGAAAGUUAAAAAAAAACGACUGUUUAAAUAUAAUACAAUUACGAUGCUCAUAUCACUUUAUUUUAUAACUUGUAGAGGUUAAGUCUAUGUUUUCAGGAUAUUCUUUAGUUCUUCUGCUAUACGACACGUGAGGAAAAGCAGGCUGAUGUCACGCUCUUGGCAUGACUUGAUUUCAGAUUUUAUUCUUUAGAGGAAAGAAAAACACUGGCCAGGGGAGAAAUCAUUUCUAAGAAAGAUGUGAAGCUGACAAGGGCACCGAAAGAAAUGCCCUCGGGCACCAAUGGGAUGGCUUGACCGUCCACGGAUGGUCUUACACUGAGUUUCUUUUAAGGGAAGCUGUGAAAUCAGUCUCAUUGUCUGGAAAUUUGAAGUGGGAUUCAGUGUGAAGUGAAAGUCUUAAAGAAAAAUUCUGCUUUGGAAGAAGAGUUGAACCAAUUUUUUUAAAUUCAACUUUUAGGAGUGAGAUGAUUUUUAUUUUUGCAAUAACGUACGAUGCUUUUCCUUGAUUGACUAUUUUUAGUGAACUGUCCUCUGGGUAUCUAUAUAAAUCUAUUCUGAGCACUAUGUUCUUUCAUCAAGUGACCAAGAAGGCCUGUCCCAUUUCCUUUCCUGGUCCUCUAAGGACAAAUGGAACAACCAUCAUUUUCAGAUGUUUUCCUCUGUCCUUCCUGGGUAAGAUGUUGGGGAGGUUUGUCCGUGGGCUAGGCCAACAAUCCUAGCACUCCGUGAUGAGAAACACAACUAUGUGUGAAAUACCAGGUGUUAAAUGAUGAGGAAUUCCCCCCAAGGCCUUCGAGUGAAGAAACCGCCUUCCCGUUGCGGUGUCCUGCUGGAAUUGUCUGGGCUCCUGGUCAGUCUUUGCUUCCCUUGGGUUACGGGCUGUAGCUGGGGUGGAGGGUGCUCGCAGUACAGUCUGGUAAAGAGCUGUGACUCCUGCCCUCAGGGGCUGGUGCACCCUGGCUGCCCAGGAGUAAGUCUUGCCACUUCUUGGAGUCGAGUGGGAUAGGGCAGAACGUUAACGGCAACCUGAACAAAACCCUCUGCUCCCCAGACAGUCACAGCUCCUCAUCACUGCAAACUCCUGUCCUCGAAGCUUUGGGAACAUGUCUUUGACCAAAUCUAAGGAAGGCUAGUCUUACUGACAAAUGCUGAAUACAGGUUCAAUGGAUACACCCGACCUUGACAUUAAGGCUCUUUUGAAACGUAUCUCCUAUCUUCACAAGGCUUAAGAAAGGCCAUUAUCACCACGAGACUAUUUUGUCAAAAAACCAUACAGAGCUGAAACCUGCCCGUACUUUAGUUUUAUUAAGGAGAGACCAACUUCAGCAUUAAGUUGGUUUGUCCUCUGUUUCUUUAUCUAAAACAGACUUUAAGUUUGCAGACCCGUCAACUGCCUUACAAAGACAACAUUUUAAUAAAACCAUGGAUGCUGACACUGCAGCUGAGAACUUAUGAGGCCAAAGACGUUAUUUAUCCAGAAGAAUUACUUCCAUCUCAUUUUGCUUUUGCUUUCUUUUGCUUUUUUCUUUCUGGUUCCAAAUCUUUAGGAAUUACCCAUCCUAAGAGUGUUCCAAAUACAAACACUCUGUCCCCAUGGUGGGACUCUCAUGCCCUCGUGGUGACACAGGGGAAAACGGCCAUCAACACAGGGCUUGUACUGGGUUACUGGCAGGCCUAUUCCUGCUUCAAUUCUUCUAGAACUUAAACUUCCAGGCUGGACAGAGAGCGGAAAGAGACAGGGAUAUAUUGAUUUUCCUAAGCAGCGGGGACACACGCCCUCUGAAGGCUUGCUUUGUGCUUCCCAUGUGAGUCCGACAUCUGACAGCUUGAAUGAUUUGGUUGUCUACACCACAAUGAGCUAGUUUGGGUGGGAUGUCAGAGGGCUCAGAGCCGUGGACGAUUCAGGCUCUCAGGUUGGGUAGCUUCUUAGGAAAAUUCUGGAAUGCUGAAGCAUUAAAAAAUAAACUUAUAUUCCCCUUAGUGCCAGUCAUGCCCGGAGCAUCUUGGGCUUUAAUGAUUAAGGACGUGGCCCGACCUCUGAUCAAGAAGAAGAAAAGGGCAGAGAAAAGACCACCUCUGGACCCCUUCGUGAGAAACUGCACACGUCGCUUGGCUCGGUCACUUCUGCCAUUUCUCUUGGGUUGCUAUUCACUAUGCUCUCUAGGAGAAAAUAAGAGUCCUUUACAAAAUCUGCAAAACAAUCUGCUAGUUCUCUCUUCAGCACAGAAGCAGCCAGGGGUAAGAGAGCUGAGACGCAGGGCGUCGCCGCGCGUGCAGACUGCCUCGGGGAACUGGAGUUGCUGCUUCUUCAUGUGAAGACUCAAGCUUUUCGGCCUCUCAUCCUCUCACGUGAGGGAGGACAAAUUCAGAGUCAACCUCUCCAUUUUCAGAGGGGCAUUUAGAAAGCACAUCUUGUUUGGCAAGAAUUCUGCUCUGGUCUUUUUAGAAAUCCUGCCAUUGUUGACAAAGAAUGGCCUGGAAGUGAGUAACGCAAGACAAAGGUCUGGCCCUCCUUCCCUCACAGAAGAGGAAGCGUUUCAGUGCUGUACUUGUCCAAACAUUCCACCAGGAGGAAGGAAGACGCGGAUUUCCCCAAGCAGACGGAGUCUGGCUCAGAAGAGGCAGGGCCUGGUCGUCCACAGGCUCCCGGAGGCUGCGUGGGCUCCCAGGCAGCACACGGAUCGGUACGGCCGCCGUCUCCGGGCUCCGAACACACACACAGGUGUCCCUGGAGGCCGUGAACGGAAGCCCGUGGCCCCAGAGCGGUCGUUAACGCCGGAGUCCAUUAAUUCUUCUGCCACCGUUCCUGGGGCUGGUGGCCAGUGUGGACACCUGGUCUCCCUGAGGUUCUGCCGGCUGCGGCCACUGCCUGGAAUCCACACAAAGCCGCUUGUGGUCCUUGCCACCCCCGCUGACCCGCCGACCCAAGGGGUCACUUUGGAGCUUCUGCAAAAACCAUGCUUUCACCAAUGUCCCAGUUUUCUAGAAAAACCUCUGACAGCAGUUUAUGGUCAAAGAGAUGGGAGAAGGGGGACCUGCCCAGGUUAAAAAAAAAGGGUUAUUGUCUCUCUCAACUUCAUUCCUCUUCUCCCUGAGCGCCGAGACUUUCUAUUCUUUGCUUCUUUUGAUGGAUGUAAAUUCAAAAGGGAACAUACGGGCGUGUGGUUCUCUCAGAAAGAAUCAGCGGGCUUCCCAGGGUAUUUACAGGGCAGCAGACACUCGCACCAGGGAAGAGCUGUCAGUAGUAACACCUGGAUGCGUGUUCUCUUUUCACGAUGAAGGAAUGCGGCUCAGGCUGCCAGGGCAGGGUGUGUGUGUGCGUGUGUGUGUGUGUGCGUGUGUUACUUCGCUCACCACAGGCUUCAUCAUUCCUCACGGAGCGUGCCGCUGCUGUCACUGUGGUCUCCGCUGCGCCAUCAACCGUCAAACGCCUGUUGGCUGUGGCCGCAAAAAGCACCUGUGUCGUGGGCAAUCCCUCAGGAGGGUGGCGAAUGCUGAGCUUAAUUUUCACGACUGAUUUCAUGACUCCUGUCAUCUAAUGAUGGGCUUUCUGGUGGGAGACAUGGGCAUCCAGGCUCAAGCUGUCAAGCUUCAGAUAAGGGACACAAGGGUUGCGGGGUCACGGAGAUGCGUUUUUCCCUAAGCGCUGACUAUCCGUCAUCAGGUUCUGUCUGUCCUGAGUCUAUCCAAUGAGGUAGUAUUAAAAUUUUGCCUUUUUAGGAUUUUAAUAAUGUAUGCUUCCUUUUGGAGGGGCUCCAAACUGGCCUGUUUCCUGUCAAACUCUGACUGGUGCUAUGAAGGUCCUUUGAAAUGAAAUGUUUCUCAUGUUGGGGGGGGCGGGGGAUGGGGCGGAGGAGUAAGCCGGAGAUUCUGUAAUCGCUCCUCUCUGUUCCAGCUGCACAAUUAAACCAUUUCUACCACACCUGAUUAGAAGUCCCACUUUUUUUCCUUUUAGGGCCACACCUCAGCAUGUGGAAGUUCCCAGACUAGGGGUCGAAUCGGAGCUGCAGCUGCCAGCCUACACCACAGCCACAGCAACACCAGAUCCAAGCGACCUACACCACGGCUUAUGAUGAUGCUGGAUCCUUAACCCAUUGAGCGAGGCCAGGGAUCGAACCCACAUCCUCAUGGACACUCGUCAGAUUUGUAACCUGCUGAGCCACAAUGGGACCUCCCAAAUUUGAACCUGAAUUAACUAAACUGAGGUAAAAUCCAAAUUUAGUUCGUCAUUUCACCAACCACAGUUCAAGCAUUCAAACGGCCACGGAGGGCGAGGCAGGCAGAGACUCCUAUAUCUGCAGACACUCUUUCCGGAGGGCUCAGGCCUCGAACAUGAGCUGCAAAGACCCAGGACUUGUCUGCUUCUGCACCCUGCUGCCUAGACGGGGCCUGACACGGACGUGCAAACAAUUUCUAUUGAAUGAAUGCCUUCGUUUUGAAAUUCCAGCGGCCAGCGACAGCUCUGUCAUCUAGUGCCCCAGGGCGGGGCCACGUUUCCUGGCCUCUUUUUCGACGAGACCUCAACCCCAACUGACCGGACGACCAGAGUAGGACCCUCGCCAGCUCUUCCGCAAGAGCUCGGUGACG
This 6346-nucleotide long non-coding RNA is filed under the name Sus scrofa (pig). RNAcentral describes it as "lncRNA (ENSSSCG00035057708.1)". Lineage: Eukaryota; Metazoa; Chordata; Mammalia; Artiodactyla; Suidae. The record is from RNAcentral.